AGUAUCGCGUAGGGAUCUGUCGUUGGGUGGGGGAUAACCGCGGGAAACUGCGGCUAAGACCGCAUGACGCCUGCGGGCCAAAGGCUGAGAGGCCGCCUGAUGAGGAGCCUGCGUCCGAUUAGCUAGUAGGUUGGGUAAUGGCUGACCUAGGCUGUGAUCGGUAGCUGGUCUGAGAGGAUGAUCAGCCACACUGGGACUGAGACACGGCCCAG
Molecule: ribosomal RNA, 212 nt
Filed under: uncultured bacterium
Lineage: Bacteria
Description: partial 16S ribosomal RNA
Rfam family: Bacterial small subunit ribosomal RNA
Source: RNAcentral